GUCCAGCAGCAUCUAAUUCCUCACAAGACAUUCUCUGGCAAUAGACCUUCUCUCUGUAUUCUGCUUUCCUCAUUGGAUGCUUACAGAAUUGGACAGUUACUGGCAAUCUAUGAACAUAGAGUAGCUGUGCAAGGCUUCAUUUGGGGAAUCAAUUCAUUUGACCAGUGGGGAGUUGAGUUAGGGAAGUCGCUGGCUACGCAAGUCAGAAAGCAACUUAAUGCAUCUCG
This 227-nucleotide unclassified non-coding RNA is filed under the name Hevea brasiliensis (rubber tree). Lineage: Eukaryota; Viridiplantae; Streptophyta; Magnoliopsida; Malpighiales; Euphorbiaceae. The record is from RNAcentral.